UGUAGGGUCAUUCAACUAUCCCCGCUCCCCAAGCUUAUCCGAACAGGGAAGCAGGUUUGGGGACAAUGGUUACCGACAGAGAGGGGGCUUCCACUCCACCAUUCCCAGUGAUCUCUCACGCCCACCCAGCCCGAAGUCUGACCACAACCUGACGGUGAUGAGAAACACAUCUCAUGCUAGCAGGAUACCCACCUCUAAUAAUCCACUGCAAAUUGCUCCCAGCCCUCCAAACCAGCGGAGACAGAUCAACCCUGUCAUGUCCAAACCCGUCAUGCUACCAAGUCAGACCUCACAUAGACCCACACUUCACUCUGAGACCAUGGUAAGAUGGCAAAUACCCAUGUGUGUACGUGCGAUGAUGAUGCAUGCAUAAGAUACUCAUUGGUUGGAUUGCUGUUUGACUCACUGAUUAUAAUGAGUUUUUUUCAAACUCAAGAGGAACAAACAGAUGUUGCUUUUACUGAUUGCACUGAUUAAGAAGGCGGAAACAGAAGGACAGAAGGGGAGAGAGGUGAAAUGGAGAUUUAUUUUUUAAAUCUGCGUACACAAUGAGACUUUCAGCAUUAAAAUGUCUUUGAUUGAUCAACCUGACAGACCUAGACCUGCUGUCCCCUUCUUCCUCCAGAUAGUCAGUCCUGCUCCAUCACAUCACAAAAGAAGCCAAUCGCUCUGCCCUGUCCUUGUGCCUCCUUAAUUAAAUAAAUGGGUGCUUGCCAAUUUUGUGGUUGUUUUAGAGGGGUAACAAGAAGGGCAAGAAAGGACAAGACCUUGUUGCCUUAAUGUGUCUCUUCAGCCUUUAUUUAUUAUUGUUAAAGGUUUUUGCUGAGGCUCAGGGUUAGAGAUUUGAUCAAGAUAACAGUUUUUUUUUUAUCACUAGGAUUCAUUUCUCAAUACUUAGGUCACCACACCUCACCUCACUUCACAUAGUGAGCACAACAGACAUCUAUGUGGGCUAAACUGUGGACCAUUUCCAUUGCUUUGGUACAAAAUACAUUCAAUUACUACAUUUUUAAAUUGCAUAAAUUGUCGACCUAUGCUAUUGUUAUAGAAGAUUAAAUUGAUGCGUAUGAAGUGUUUUGGUAGUUGUAGUGCGUAUUAGAUAU
This is a long non-coding RNA of Sinocyclocheilus rhinocerous, 1103 nucleotides long. RefSeq lists it as uncharacterized. Lineage: Eukaryota; Metazoa; Chordata; Actinopteri; Cypriniformes; Cyprinidae. The transcript is spliced from 3 exons. The record is from RefSeq and is a predicted model, not a curated record.